RNAcentral lists this ribosomal RNA (392 nucleotides) under uncultured Gammaproteobacteria bacterium. Its description in RNAcentral is "bacterial SSU rRNA". It matches the Rfam family "Bacterial small subunit ribosomal RNA", at positions 370 to 779 of the family's 1533-position model. Lineage: Bacteria; Pseudomonadati; Pseudomonadota; Gammaproteobacteria. The record is from RNAcentral.
AAUGGGCGCAAGCCUGAUCCAGCCAUGCCGCGUGAGUGAUGAAGGCCCUAGGGUCGUAAAGCUCUUUCGCCAGGGAAGAUAAUGACGGUACCUGGUAAAGAAACCCCGGCUAACUCCGUGCCAGCAGCCGCGGUAAUACGGAGGGGGUUAGCGUUGUUCGGAAUUACUGGGCGUAAAGCGCGCGUAGGCGGACUAUUAAGUCGAGGGUGAAAUCCCGGGGCUCAACCCCGGAACUGCCUUCGAUACUGGUAGUCUUGAGGUCGAGAGAGGUGAGUGGAACUCCGAGUGUAGAGGUGAAAUUCGUAGAUAUUCGGAAGAACACCAGUGGCGAAGGCGGCUCACUGGCUCGAUACUGGCGCUGAGGUGCGAAAGUGUGGGGAGCAAACAGGAUU